UGAGCAUAGGAAUCUCCCAUUCUCAUCCCCU
Molecule: non-coding RNA, 31 nt
Filed under: Rattus norvegicus (Norway rat)
Lineage: Eukaryota; Metazoa; Chordata; Mammalia; Rodentia; Muridae
Source: RNAcentral